This 520-nucleotide ribosomal RNA is filed under the name uncultured Glomus. Its description in RNAcentral is "SSU rRNA". It matches the Rfam family "Eukaryotic small subunit ribosomal RNA", at positions 569 to 1092 of the family's 1831-position model. The record is from RNAcentral. Lineage: Eukaryota; Fungi; Glomeromycota; Glomeromycetes; Glomerales; Glomeraceae.
AGCAGCCGCGGUAAUUCCAGCUCCAAUAGCGUAUAUUAAGGUUGCUGCAGUUAAAAAGCUCGUAGUUGAAUUUCGGGACCGAUAUAUCGGUCGUGCCUCGGUACGUACUGGUAUUUUCGGUUUCUACCUUCUGACGAACCUUGAUGUCAUUAAUUUGGUGUCUUGGGGAAUCAGGACUGUUACUUUGAAAAAAUUAGAGUGUUUAAAGCAGGCUCACGCUUGAAUACAUUAGCAUGGAAUAAUGAAAUAGGACGUUUGAUUCUAUUUUGUUGGUUUCUAGGAUCGACGUAAUGAUUAAUAGGGAUAGUUGGGGGCAUUAGUAUUCAAUUGUCAGAGGUGAAAUUCUUGGAUUUAUUGAAGACUAACUACUGCGAAAGCAUUUGCCAAGGAUGUUUUCAUUAAUCAAGAACGAAAGUUAGGGGAUCGAAGACGAUCAGAUACCGUCGUAGUCUUAACCAUAAACUAUGCCGACUAGGGAUCGGAUGAUGUUAAUUUUUAAUGACUCAUUCGGCGCCUUACG